This 858-nucleotide long non-coding RNA is filed under the name Cyanistes caeruleus (blue tit). RNAcentral's name for it is "lncRNA (ENSCCEG00000011497.1)". The record is from RNAcentral. Lineage: Eukaryota; Metazoa; Chordata; Aves; Passeriformes; Paridae.
GUGAAAUGCUUGUGUUUCAAUGUGACAGCACCAACAGGCUGUUGCUUUGCAAGACAGAACUGAAUCUACUGACAUGAGCUUGUUUGCACAGUUUUCUGGUGGAGCCACACAUUUCACCCAAUGACCUUUUUGACAUUUUUCUGGUUUCCCUCCUGCAGGAACACUUCAGCAGUGAAGUGCCAUACUCUGCUGAACAAACUUGGCAUCUCAUCAAGCUGACUUAUUUGAAAAAACUCACAAUCUUACUUUACCAGGUGGGGACCUGGCACUGUAGGGGAUGGAGAAGCUGCUGGAAUGAGGGUAGAUUUUUUUUUUGCCUGGGAAGAGACCAACAGGAAAGGUUUCAUGAGAUGAAGGAGAGAAAAAGAAAGAAAGUGAAACCAAGCAGUCGACUUGGUAGCUGCAAUCUUUGAUCUGUGGCUGUCUGCAAACAGCAUCACAGCUCUGUGAUUAGAUGUACAUGCUCAUUAUGUGUUGUACUCUCCAAGCAGGCAUUGUAAAUACAGCACAACCUAUUCUGCUUCCUUCUGCCCAAAUAUCUUUUUUCAUCUAUAUUGCAUUAAGACCUUGAGGCCUAUCAUCAGCCAGAGAAAAAAAUACAAUUUUCUUAUUGUACAAUGCAUUUCAUUCCCAGCUGCUAUAUUAAAUUUAUUCCUAUUUGAAGUGGUGUCUGUGAGUAUAAAUCAUUUAAGUUUAUAUGUUUUUGUUGCUGUGGCAACUGUUUGACUAAUUGAAUUCCAAAGUGUCUCCCUGUAUUUCAGAGCUACGAUAAAAGGCACACAAAUUCUUGGCAGUAGGGGUCUGAAAUGAGGAGGGGGGACAGACAGGCCUGUCAGAAUGACAUGUCCUCAAUCUCCU